UCUGCCUAUAAGUAUCAUCAUGCUGUAUCACCGUGUCCCGUCUAUAAGGAUCUGUUCUCAAAGUCCUACUAUAUGCAUAAGAUUGAACAGGAGCAGGUGGUGGUAAAGGUUGAAGCGGGGCUAAUGGUACCAAUGGAGAUGUAACUAAAUCCCUUUCAUGAAACUGAGGACGUUCAUGGUAUACACGCUCUUCAACCCGCUCACGGUGCCCACGCUCCUCAACCCGCUCACGGUAUCCACGCCGUCUUCUGUAAACAUCAGGAUUACCUAGCACUGUGUCACGUGGCUCUACUACUGCCUGUCUUCUGUAAACAUCAGGAUUGCAUGGCACUGUGUCCCGCCUAUAAGCAUCAGGGAGUUCCACCAAUCGGCUCUGCCUAUAAGUAUCAUCAUGCUGUAUCACUGUGUCCCGUCUAUAAGGAUCUGUUCUCGAAGUCCUACUAUAUGCAUAAGAUUGAACAGGAGCAGGUGGUGGUAAAGGUUGAAGCGCGGCUAAUGGCACCAAUGGAGAUGUAACUAAAUCCCUUUCAUGAAACUGAGGACGUUCAUGGUAUACACGCUCUUCAACCUGCUCACGGUACCCAUGCUCUUCAACCCGCUGACGGUACCCACGCUCUUCAACCCGCUGACG
RNAcentral lists this long non-coding RNA (631 nucleotides) under Nicotiana benthamiana. RNAcentral's name for it is "long non-coding RNA (NBEN_LNC040111)". The record is from RNAcentral. Lineage: Eukaryota; Viridiplantae; Streptophyta; Magnoliopsida; Solanales; Solanaceae.